This 460-nucleotide ribosomal RNA is filed under the name uncultured bacterium. RNAcentral's name for it is "partial 16S ribosomal RNA". It matches the Rfam family "Bacterial small subunit ribosomal RNA", at positions 338 to 795 of the family's 1533-position model. The record is from RNAcentral.
CCUACGGGUGGCAGCAGUGAGGAAUAUUGGUCAAUGGACGAGAGCCUGAACCAGCCAAGUAGCGUGAAGGAUGACUGCCCUAUGGGUUGUAAACUUCUUUUAUAUGGGAAUAAAAUGUUUCACGUGUGGGAUUUUGUAUGUACCAUAUGAAUAAGGAUCGGCUAACUCCGUGCCAGCAGCCGCGGUAAUACGGAGGAUCCGAGCGUUAUCCGGAUUUAUUGGGUUUAAAGGGAGCGUAGGUGGAUUGUUAAGUCAGUUGUGAAAGUUUGCGGCUCAACCGUAAAAUUGCAGUUGAAACUGGCAGUCUUGAGUACAGUAGAGGUGGGCGGAAUUCGUGGUGUAGCGGUGAAAUGCUUAGAUAUCACGAAGAACUCCGAUUGCGAAGGCAGCUCACUGGACUGCAACUGACACUGAGGCUCGAAAGUGUGGGUAUUAAACAGGAUUAGAUACCCUAGUAGUC